Molecule: transfer RNA, 83 nt
Filed under: Acidobacteria bacterium RBG_16_70_10
Lineage: Bacteria; Pseudomonadati; Acidobacteriota
Description: tRNA-Leu
Rfam family: tRNA
About the family: Transfer RNA (tRNA) molecules are approximately 80 nucleotides in length.
Source: RNAcentral
GCGGAAGUGGCGGAAUGGCAGACGCUCACGGCUUAGGACCGUGUGCCCGAGAGGGCGUGGGGGUUCGAGUCCCUCCUUCCGCA